This 72-nucleotide transfer RNA is filed under the name Ovis aries (sheep). It matches the Rfam family "tRNA". Rfam says of the family: Transfer RNA (tRNA) molecules are approximately 80 nucleotides in length. Their secondary structure includes four short double-helical elements and three loops (D, anti-codon, and T loops). The record is from Rfam by way of RNAcentral. Lineage: Eukaryota; Metazoa; Chordata; Mammalia; Artiodactyla; Bovidae.
UCCUUGGUAGCUCAGAUGGUAAAGAAUCUGCCUGUAAUGCAGAAGACCCAGGUUUGAUCCCUGGGUCAGGAA